CCUACGGGAGGCAGCAGUGGGGAAUCUUGCGCAAUGGGCGAAAGCCUGACGCAGCCAUGCCGCGUGAAUGAUGAAGGUCUUAGGAUUGUAAAAUUCUUUCACCGGGGACGAUAAUGACGGUACCCGGAGAAGAAGCCCCGGCUAACUUCGUGCCAGCAGCCGCGGUAAUACGAAGGGGGCUAGCGUUGCUCGGAAUUACUGGGCGUAAAGGGAGCGUAGGCGGAUAGUUUAGUCAGAGGUGAAAGCCCAGGGCUCAACCUUGGAAUUGCCUUUGAUACUGGCUAUCUUGAGUGUGGGAGAGGUAUGUGGAACUCCGAGUGUAGAGGUGAAAUUCGUAGAUAUUCGGAAGAACACCAGUGGCGAAGGCGACAUACUGGCCCAUUACUGACGCUGAGGCUCGAAAGCGUGGGGAGCAAACAGGAUUAGAUACCCUGGUAGUCCACGCUGUAAACGAUGAGUGCUAGUUGUCGGCAGGCAUGCCUGUCGGUGACGCAGCUAACGCAUUAAGCACUCCGCCUGGGGAGUACGGUCGCAAGAUUAAAACUCAAAGGAAUUGACGG
This 560-nucleotide ribosomal RNA is filed under the name uncultured bacterium. RNAcentral describes it as "bacterial SSU rRNA". It matches the Rfam family "Bacterial small subunit ribosomal RNA", at positions 338 to 916 of the family's 1533-position model. The record is from RNAcentral.